CUCCCGUUUCGCUCAGUUGGUAAAGCCCUCCAGUGGAAAUGGAGAGGUGCCUGGUUCGAUACCAGGACGAGGCA
RNAcentral lists this transfer RNA (74 nucleotides) under Ixodes scapularis (black-legged tick). RNAcentral describes it as "tRNA-Ser". Lineage: Eukaryota; Metazoa; Arthropoda; Arachnida; Ixodida; Ixodidae. The record is from RNAcentral.